Molecule: ribosomal RNA, 411 nt
Filed under: uncultured Barnesiella sp.
Lineage: Bacteria; Pseudomonadati; Bacteroidota; Bacteroidia; Bacteroidales; Barnesiellaceae
Description: bacterial SSU rRNA
Rfam family: Bacterial small subunit ribosomal RNA
Source: RNAcentral
UGAGGGAAUAUUGGGUCAAUGGACGGAAGUCUGAACCAGCCAAGUCGCGUGAAGGAAGACGGUUCUAUGGAUUGUAAACUUCUUUUGCCUGAGGGUAAAACGCGGUACGUGUACCGCCUUGUAAGUAUCAGGUGAAUAAGCAUCGGCUAACUCCGUGCCAGCAGCCGCGGUAAUACGGAGGAUGCGAGCGUUAUCCGGAUUUAUUGGGUUUAAAGGGUGCGCAGGCGGUUCAUCAAGUCAGCGGUAAAAAUUCGGGGCUCAACCCCGUCCUGCCGUUGAAACUGACGAGCUGGAGUGCGACAGAGGAAUGCGGAAUGCGAGGUGUAGCGGUGAAAUGCAUAGAUAUCGCGCAGAACUCCGAUUGCGAAGGCAGCGUUCCAUGUCGUAACUGACGCUCAGGCACGAAAGCGU